UACGGAGGGUGCGAGCGUUGUCCGGAAUCAUUGGGCGUAAAGGGCGCGUAGGUGGCGGGACAAGCGUGCGGUGAAAGCCUGGGGCUCAACCCCGGGUCGGCCGUGCGAACUGUUUUGCUUGAGCACUGUAGGGGCAGGCGGAAUUCCGGGUGUAGCGGUGGAAUGCGUAGAGAUCCGGAAGAACACCGGUGGCGAAGGCGGCCUGCUGGGCAGUAGCUGACACUGAGGCGCGACAGCGUGGGGAGCAAACAGG
Molecule: ribosomal RNA, 253 nt
Filed under: uncultured bacterium
Lineage: Bacteria
Description: partial 16S ribosomal RNA
Rfam family: Bacterial small subunit ribosomal RNA
Source: RNAcentral